ACGCUCUGACAUAGGUAGAGCUAUUUAGUAUUUACUCGGAUUACCUGCGUCGAGCAAUAAAGUCAUCAUUGAAUGUCACACAUUUAUUGCAUCAUGGAUGAUGUAAAUAACCGCUUUUUAAUCACAGUAACUACCUAUAAAAAGGGUAACCGUUUGCAGGUUUUUUGCUAGGUACCUAAUAAUUGUCGUACGAUGUUUACGUGUCGUUGAUAAGAUAAGCGCAAAGUCCGAAAACAAAUGUUGAGAUUGCUCUUUUAGAUAACAUCAGGCGAGAAUACGUUAGGUACCUAUCGCAAUGAUUCCUUUAUGUAGAUAAAUAGGUGUACCUACGCACACAUAGGUAGAUAUCUACUUACUGUCGGAAGAAAAAAUGUUCUACUUAAUUACUUCCUCACCUCAACAAGUUAUCAUCACAUCCUGUUUACUAAGCUGCUAAAAGUGGAAUCAUGGAUACCAGGUCAGACCCCUUAGCGCUCAACAUUUGUCCGGCCAAGUAAUUAAUGCCAAUACCAUCUGAAGUAAGCAUUAGGCACAUAAAAGGAAAGAAACCUUAUAGGUAUGUAUUUAUUUUGAUUUAGCAGAACAAAACAAACAUAAUACCAUCUCUGCAAUUCUCUUUCAUAACGUAGGCACGUAACUGCGAUUAAAAAUACCUUAUCAAAUCCGCGCGAUGACAAACUCCCGCGUUCCGCUCUGGGGGCCUACCGGCUAAUUCGCCGAACUUCGGCGACUUGAAAACGAUUCAGAUAAAUCGAAGUUCGGCGUUUGGUACCGGGUAAUUUCCGAUGUUCAUUGCAAUCGGGAUGAAAAUCAAUCCAUAGAUAAUAAUAGACAUGUUAGAGGGGUGCAUGAUUGAACGAAUGACUUUUGGUCUUGCGUUCCGUUGAGACAUUUGGUAAACAUUUAAUAUUUUAUAUCAUUAUGAAAUUAAAAAAUACAGACUAGUUUUGUAUGUUAUUUUUAUUAAUUGAUAAUAUUUUUAGUUAAUCACUUUGUAAAGUCUUACAAAUGUUUAAAACAAAAGGAAAAUGCAACGACGGAUUUUUCUUUUGCAACUGAAGUAAUGAAACGCAAAAAAAAAAGAAAAAUGACGUUAUGUUAUAUCAGCUGACAUACUUGAAUUCGCGCCGAAUGCAACAGUUUUAUCUUCUCAGAAUUUAUACAAUAACAACAAUAACGAAAGAAAUAUCACCGAUUUACUACCUACUAGAUCUAGAGAGUCGGAGGCUAGACAUGGAGGAGCGACUUGUUUCAGCAUUUAACAAGCUGGCUGGCGACAGCUGCUGAAGCUAAUAGCAAGGCCGCGGAUAUGCAAACAGAGUUGCUUCGGCUGCUGCUGGAGGAAGUUAGGUGAAGACCAAUAUAAGGUUAAAGAAUAGCAGCAUGAGGAUUCUCAAGAACGAAGACACUAGAGAAACUAAGUUAAAAUACUUAAGUAAAAACAUAUGUAUUCAAUAAACUUGUAUGUAAAUAUUUAAGCUAAAGUAUAAGUACUCCAUUUAUGUUAUUUAAGUGAAGUUGUAUUUAAUUAAAAUAUGUACUUAAGUUUGGUCAUGUUAUUUAAGUGAGUUUGUCUAGGGGUAUCAUUAAAGUACAUUAAAGACAAAGCAACUAGAUAUCAUUUUUCCAAGAACUAUUUUGAAACAAAAAUAAUAUAGCAUCACGCUUCUAUUCCCGAAGGGGUAGGCAGAGGUGUAUAGUAUAUGUAUACACCCACUCCUAUAUUUAAUUUAAAUACUUAAGUUUGGUCAUGUUAUUUAAGUGAGUUUGUUUAGGGGUAACAUUAAAGACAAAGCAACUAGAUAUCAUUUUACCAAGAACUAUUUUGAAACAAAAAUAAUAUAGCAUCACGCUUCUAUUCCCGAAGGGGUAGGCAGAGGUGUAUAGUAUAUUUAUACACCCACUCCUUGCCAACUACUAUCUAAUAAAAAGAUUUGUAUAGGUGUAUUGAUGAAGAUGUUGGAUGCAAUUAACUUAUAUUUCCAUAUUAUAGUAAGAAUUGGGAACAAUAUUAUAUUUGUGGUAUGUUCUAAUUGAUUACAUUUCUUUGAUCCACCCGCAGGGCUUUUUUGAUUAUACUAUUACACAUUACAAAUAGUCUAGUCCCCAUAAGGCCCCGCAAGCUUGUAUUUAUACAAAAUAAAUGGAUUUAUUUAUUACAAAUUAAAGAUAGAUGGAUAAACUACUUUAUUAAGCACAAUGGACACAAGAUUAGAAAAAUGUAUCUACUUGAGAGAUAGGUUGGUUAAUGAGAGGGGUGCAAUGAAACAAAUUAUGUAAUAACACAAAAUAAAUAAAUCUGCGUAAUGAAAAUAGUUUAUUUGAUGCCAAUAAAGAAAGGUUUGUUUA
Molecule: long non-coding RNA, 2349 nt
Organism: Pectinophora gossypiella (pink bollworm)
Lineage: Eukaryota; Metazoa; Arthropoda; Insecta; Lepidoptera; Gelechiidae
Exons: 3
Source: RefSeq, a predicted model, not a curated record